GCCCCGCAAGGGGAGUGGCAGACGGGUGAGUAACACGUGGGAACAUACCCUUUGGUUCGGAAUAACUCAGGGAAACUUGAGCUAAUACCGGAUAAGUCCGCGAGGAGAAAGAUUUAUCGCCGAAGGAUUGGCCCGCGUCUGAUUAGCUAGUUGGUGAGGUAACGGCUCACCAAGGCGACGAUCAGUAGCUGGUCUGAGAGGAUGACCAGCCACACUGGGACUGAGACACGGCCCAGACUCCUACGGGAGGCAGCAGUGGGGAAUAUUGGACAAUGGGCGCAAGCCUGAUCCAGCCAUGCCGCGUGAGUGAUGAAGGCCUUAGGGUUGUAAAGCUCUUUUACUCGGGAAGAUAAUGACGGUACCGAGAGAAUAAGCCCCGGCUAACUUCGUGCCAGCAGCCGCGGUAAUACGAAGGGGGCUAGCGUUGUUCGGAUUUACUGGGCGUAAAGCGCACGUAGGCGGAUCUUUAAGUCAGGGGUGAAAUCCCGAGGCUCAACCUCGGAACUGCCUUUGAUACUGGGGAUCUUGAGUCCGGAAGAGGUGAGUGGAACUGCGAGUGUAGAGGUGAAAUUCGUAGAUAUUCGCAAGAACACCAGUGGCGAAGGCGGCUCACUGGUCCGGUACUGACGC
RNAcentral lists this ribosomal RNA (630 nucleotides) under Methylovirgula sp. RNAcentral's name for it is "bacterial SSU rRNA". It matches the Rfam family "Bacterial small subunit ribosomal RNA", at positions 81 to 746 of the family's 1533-position model. The record is from RNAcentral. Lineage: Bacteria; Pseudomonadati; Pseudomonadota; Alphaproteobacteria; Hyphomicrobiales; Beijerinckiaceae.